UCUUCCGAUCUAGCAGCGACGAAGCGGGAGCGUAAGCCACCGUGGAGCGCUAUCGAGUGAGAAUGCUGACAUAAGUAGUGAUUUCUCUCUGUGAGAUUCAGAGAUGCCGAAAGCCCGAGGUUUCCGCAGCAAUGUCAAUCAGCUGCGGGUGAGUCGGAUCUAAGUGACGCGCCAGAUCGGCACGUCGCGAUGUACAAACGGUUAAUAUUCCGUUACUAUGAUGCAUGAGUUAUAUUCAGUAUUACGACGAAGUUGGUCAAGUAUAGCGAUUUAUAUGAUCGUCCAAGUGCCGACAUUAUGUACCAGUAGGUAUGUAGAGGAGGUAUGAGUGUAAGGUGGUGUCGCAAGGCACUGUCAAGUAUAUGCGAUACGCUUCCAGGAAAAGAGUAUUGAGGAUUGUGCAUUGUACCCGUACCGAUAACCGACACAGGUGGGCAGGUCGAGUAGACUAAGGCAAACGAUUAAAGGUGGUUCAAGGAACUCGGCAAAAAAGUUGACCGUAAGAUUUUCGAGAUGGUCUGCCCCACUUUAUUGUGGGGUCGCAGCGAACGUUUUUCAAACGACUGUUUAUCUAAAACACAGGUUCCUGCUAAGCAGCAUAUGCGCUGUAUAGGAGCUGAAGCCUGUCCGGUACUGGUAAGUCAACUAUCGUGGCUGAAGUAGCUUAGCAAUAAUCUACAAGGUCGUGGUAUAAGCUCCAGUGAACGACAGCUCUAACCCUGAGAGUUCUAAGGUAGCGUAGCCCCUUGCCGGGUAAGUUCCGGCCCGCAUGAAUGGCUUAACGAUUUGAAAACUGUCUUGAACCGCUGUUCGACGAACUUGAAAUGGCUGUGAAGAUGCGGCCUACUUGCAUCCGGACAAAAAGACCCUAGAAGCUUUACUGAAGUUUGGUAUUGGUAAAAACACGGUGCAUGUCUAGUGUAGGAGGGAGCCUUCGGGCGCAAUUGUAACACCUCUCUUCGCUUUGUUUUUGCCUUAUCUCCCUUUGUGGGGGAAACAGUGCUAGACGGUCAGUUUACCUGGGGCGGGUCCCUCCAAAAAAGUAACGGAGGGGUACAAAGGUUGGCUUAGUGCGGAUGGAAAUCGCACUGUACGGGCAAGCCCAUAAGCCAGCCUAACUGUGAGACCUAUAAGUCGAGCAGAUGCGAAAGCAGGUGCUAGUGAUCCUCGGAUGCGCUGUGAUUGCGCACCGGGCUUAACAGAUAAAAGCUACUCUGGGGAUAACAGGCUAGUUUCGCCCGAGAGUUCCUAUCGACGGCGAAGUUCGGCACCUCGAUGUCGGCUCAUCACAUCCUGGGGGUGAAGUCGCUCCCAAGGGUCCGGCUGUUCGCCGGUUAAAGUGGUACGCGAGCUGGGUUCAGAACGUCGUGAGACAGUUCGGACUCUAUCCGAUGCAAGCGCUUGGAAUUUUGAGGGAUGUCACCCACAGUACGAGAGGACCUGGGUUGAGGGAAUCCCUGGUGUACGGAUUGUCCCAAAAGGGCAUUGUCCGGUAGCUAGAUUCCCACGUGAUAAGCACUGAAAGCAUCUCAAGUGCGAAGCACUUCCCAAGAUGAGAAUUCCAUAUUAGCGCGCCCGUAGAUGACGGGUUUGAUAGGCAACAGAUGUAAGUGGAGCAAUCCAUUUAGUCGAGUUGUACUAACGCGCGAUUUCCUAUCUCUU
RNAcentral lists this ribosomal RNA (1662 nucleotides) under metagenome. RNAcentral describes it as "bacterial LSU rRNA". It matches the Rfam family "Bacterial large subunit ribosomal RNA", at positions 1236 to 2925 of the family's 2925-position model. The record is from RNAcentral.